This 396-nucleotide ribosomal RNA is filed under the name uncultured bacterium. Its description in RNAcentral is "bacterial SSU rRNA". It matches the Rfam family "Bacterial small subunit ribosomal RNA", at positions 29 to 409 of the family's 1533-position model. The record is from RNAcentral.
AACGAACGCUGGCGGCGUGCCUAACACAUGCAAGUCGAACGAGAAAGGGAUUUCGGUCCUGAGUAAAGUGGCGCACGGGUGAGUAACACGUAGGUAACCUACCUCUAAGUUUGGGACAACCUGUCGAAAGAUGAGCUAAUACUGAAUAAGACCACAGUUUCCUCGGAAGCAGGGGUUAAAGGUAGCCUCUAUUUAUAAGCUAUCACUUAGAGAUGGGCCUGCGUACCAUUAGCUAGUUGGUGAGGUAACGGCUCACCAAGGCAAAGAUGGUUAGCUGGUCUGAGAGGAUGAUCAGCCACACUGGAACUGAGACACGGUCCAGACUCCUACGGGAGGCAGCAGUGGGAAUAUUGCGCAAUGGGCGAAAGCCUGACGCAGCAACGCCGCGUGAGUGAU